UACGUAGGGUGCAAGCGUUGUCCGGAAUUAUUGGGCGUAAAGAGCUCGUAGGCGGCUUGUCGCGUCGGCUGUGAAAACCUGGGGCUCAACCCCGGGCCUGCAGCCGAUACGGGCAAGCUAGAAUUCGGUAGGGGAGACUGGAAUUCCUGGUGUAGCGGUGAAAUGCGCAGAUAUCUGGAGGAACACCGGUGGCGAAGGCGGCAUCCUGGACCGGUAUUGACGCUGAGGCGCGAAAGCUAGGGGAGCAAACGGG
This 253-nucleotide ribosomal RNA is filed under the name uncultured bacterium. RNAcentral describes it as "partial 16S ribosomal RNA". It matches the Rfam family "Bacterial small subunit ribosomal RNA", at positions 524 to 776 of the family's 1533-position model. The record is from RNAcentral.